RNAcentral lists this transfer RNA (77 nucleotides) under Flavonifractor sp. Its description in RNAcentral is "tRNA-Arg". It matches the Rfam family "tRNA". Rfam says of the family: Transfer RNA (tRNA) molecules are approximately 80 nucleotides in length. Lineage: Bacteria; Bacillati; Bacillota; Clostridia; Eubacteriales; Oscillospiraceae. RNAcentral also lists the same sequence under 2 other names. The record is from RNAcentral.
GCGCCUGUAGCUCAGGUGGAUAGAGCAACUGCCUUCUAAGCAGUGGGCCGGGGGUUCGAGUCCCUCCAGGCGUGCCA